CAAAAAAAAAAAAAAAAAAAAAAAAAAGAUGCUGUUGCAUUUCAGAGACAAGAGUGCUUUGGACCAGCAUAGACAUGGAAACAGUAAGAGAUGGCUAGAUUGUGGAUGAUGUUCUUUGAAAGUGGAACCAACAGCUUUGCUGAUGGAUUGGACGUGGGUAAUGAGAGAUGGGAUGAUGAUACCAAGGGUUUUGGAGUUGCCAUUUGCUAAGAUGAGGAAUACUGAAGGAAAAACAGGUUUGCUGGAUGGGAAUCAGAAAUUCAGGUUUGGAAUAUGUUAGGUCUGAGAUGCCUAGGAGACAUCCCACGGGUGAGAAGCAGGAGUUCAGGUAGAAGUCUGGACUGGAGAAAUAAAUGUGUGAGGCAUCAGAAACAGAUGGUAUUUAAGCCAUAAAACAGAAUGAGAUUACCUAGGUGUGAGUUACCCCAUGUUUGAAAGUCAACUAAAAACCAGACAGCCCCAAGUCUUAGGCUAAGCAGAUCAUUUUUGUGGGGAGGGAAGAAGUCAUAACAGAGCUUGGAAGCUCAGCACAUAUUUAUAUGCCAGAUCCAGUUUUUACCAGACGUCUCAAAAUGGUUCAAGAAAGUCAACGCAUAUGUACAGACAGGAAAGACAGCAAGCCUCCAAAGAUAGAUAGGAGCUGAUUUAGAAGGGAGAGGGGAACAGUUAUCGAUCACAGCUUGCUUGUUACAUGGCCUCAUCUGCCCUGUAGAUUCCAGGGAAACUGGGGACUUAAUAACAAUAUCCUAGCUCGAGAAAGCUAGAAGCACAGAAGGGAGUGCCUAUGAGUUUAUCCCAUCCUGUUUCCUUUUGUUUUAUUAUUUUCAAGGGGCACUUGUAAUUUUAGUAAGACAACUGGAGAAUCUUUUCAGCAUAAAUGGCGUAAGAAUUUUUAACCAACAAGAUCCUUUCUUUCUCACUCUUUUCAACCAGCAAAACAGUAAGGGAUAGACCAACUUUUGCUACUGAAAGGACUGAUUUUUUUUUUUUUUUUUGAGACGGAGUCUUGCUCUGUCGCCCAGGCUGGAGUGCAGCGGCACAGUCUCGGCUCACUGCAACCUCCGCCUCCUGGGUUCAAGCAAUUCUCCUGCCUCAGCCUCCGGAGUAGCUGGGACUACAGGUGUGUGCCACCAUGCCCGGCUAGUUUUUUGUAUUUUUAGUAGAGAUGGGGUUUCACCAUGUUAGCCAGGAUGGUCUCAAUCUCCUGACCUUGUGAUCCUCCUGCCUCGGCCUCCCAAAGGACUGAUUGUUUUAUAGAACUUGAUGUUGGGAUAAAACUAGGGACCAGUGGUCCUAAAUGCCCAUUCCCUCCUCUAGCUGGUGGAAGUACUAGUAGCUCCUUAGGACAUGCGUCCCCUUUAACAUGUAGUUAAUUAUCAAACAUAUAUUUGCAACACUACGUUAAUGCAAAUAAGAAAUUUUGCUGCCUCUUCUCAUAAAGUUUUCAAGUAAAUAGUUCUUUAUGGUUGCCCUACAGGUUAUUGUUGGUUUGUUUGUCUUACUAACUUUUCCUUGGCUCUCACUCACCCAGACUCCUCAUUGUUGACUGAGAACUCCUACAUUUACUGGUAACCUUAUUAAAAUUAGACUCUGCAUUUCAUAAUCUAUGAUGGUAACAUUUUGUUCAAUUUACUGACACACUUAAGUUGACCAAAAUUACUUGAGCAGAAAGCUCUGUAAGAACCAUUGAUUGCUUUUAUUCCUUUCCUGGGGCAAAAUGCUUCAACUUCCUAUAAGACAAGAGCCUUCUCUUCAGAUCCAGACCUGUUUCCCAGCAAAACCAACAACAGCUCUCACUGUUAUUCCCAGUUGUUAAUGGGCAUGAACAACAGGAUCUGCUCUGACAGAGCCAACCACACAGAUAGAAAGAUUUGGUGGCCUCUCCCUGGUAUGAUUUAAGGAGAGUGGAAAAGUCUCUAUACAGAAAUCUCUCCCAGACUCCCUGAGCCCUGCUGCCUGAAACUCUACCAUUAAUGAAUCAUUUCUUUACAUUCAGGAUUGUCUUCUGGAGAACAAUCUUCAAAGGGGCACCAUAUUUAAGUCAGUCUGGUGGCCAAGAGGGUGGGAAGGGGGCACUACAGAAAGAGAAAAAGAGGAAGAGAGCUGAAAUAAAGGUGGUAACACAAGACUUUGUGUGCUGACAGUCCUAUUAAAGGCUGUUUUGCAACACUGGUGCAACCAGAGUGGGUAACAAUUAUGAGAGAAUGAUUCCAGUAUGGCUCAAACCCACACGCACAUGCCUAAUGUGGUCUUAUUAUUUAUUUAUGUGAAAGCUUAAUAAAUAAGUACAGAUUCAACCUGAUUUGUAAUCAGCCUGCUAACUCAAUACAAAUUAUAGGUUCCUUUAAGACAGUGAUUUUCAACUGUAGGCAAUUUCACCCCACUCUCCCAGAGGUUCUUGGCAAUAUCUGAAGACAUUUUUUGGUUGUCACAAGUGUGGGGGUAGGUAAGAAGUUCCACUGGCAUCGAAUGUGUAGAGGUCAGAGAUGACGCUAAACAUCCUAUAAUGCUCAGGACAGCCUCUUCCCAAUUGUCCAUCCCCAAAGUCAAUUGUGCUGCAGUUAGGAAACCCUGCUUUAGGAUUAUAGGCAAGUCGCCAGGCUUGCAGAGAUGAUAGAAUUGUGAUGUAAUAAUUUUCUCUUAUGCUUUGCACUGGACCACAAAUGCACGCAUAUAAACCAUGAACAUGAAAUGUAGCCUCUGUUUGUUAUUUGUCUUCAAAAAUUCAUCACGAUGUCCAGCCCCACAGUCUGCUAUUUGGAGAGUUGGUUUUCGGGCCCCUUGUUUGAUCUAUUCCCUACCGCCUCAGUAGCCAGAAGGAGCAGCUAGGAAUCUUAGCCAAUUCAUAGGAAGAGACUCCAGGCCCCUGUUCAAGUGACACUCCUAAUCAGUGAGUUCUUUUUGAGAAAAUCUCCUAUAAAUAAAUUGUUCAAUUGAUGGGUCUUGAUGAGGAGCAAAAAUGCCUUAGUUCCCAGCUUCUCACUAUCCCAGCCAAAUUCACAGCAGACAGAUGCCAUGUGAGGCCCUCUUCUAGCCGGGCAACUUCCAUAUUUCUCUUCCCUCUGCUGAGUAGUAAUCCCCUCUGACCUUACCUCUACUACAAUGUGGGUUCUUCAGCCUUCACAUUUUCUUCUCCAUCACACUCCCUCCUUCCCCACGAGCAAGAGCAGGUGACUAACAGCUGGUAAAGAAGGACCUGCCAUUGGUUACCAGUUCCUUCAGUUGACUGAUUGAUGCACUUUUUUUUUUUUUUUUUUUUGAGAUACAGUCUCCCUGGCUGGGGUGCAGUGGCACGACCUCAGCUCACCACAACCUCUGCCUCCUGGGUUCAAGCGAUUCUCCUGCCUCAGCCUCCCGAGUAGCUGGGAUUACAGGCACCCACCACCAAGCCCUGCUAAUUUUUUUUUUUUUUUUUUUUUUUUUAGUAGAGAUGGGGUUUCACCACAUUGGCCAGGCUAGUGUCAAGCUUCUCACUUUAAGUGAUCCACCCACCUCGCCCUCCCAGAGUGCUAGGAUUACAGGCGUGAGCUGCUGCGCCUGGUCGAUUGAUGCACUUUUAGUGACAACUCUCCACACUCAACAAUAACCGCAUAAGGGACUCGUGGAAUAAAAGGGUUUCUCUAUUCCUCUCUCCACUUGGGCAAAGCCACUCUAGACUCAAAAAGCUGCAGAGAGAUCUUGGGUGAGGGUAGACCAUGUCCUAAAAGCCUGUUGCUUUGUCUGAAGGUAAGUCUGCUUUAGUCUUGAAAACUCAUUUGGAAAAGGAGAGAGGUGUGAUAAGAGGUGCAUCCUCGGAAGGGACCCAGCAUAGUCAGCUGUCCUUACCCAGGCACUCCCUGACUUAGGGACAAUCCGCCAAGUUGGCUGAAUCACUGGAAACCUGAGCUGGGAAUGGAAGAAACGUUUUCAAUCCUUUCUCAACCCAAACCCACACUACUCUUAAAAGAAUAGCCUUAGCUAACAAUCCUCUCUCUGCAGGCUUUCUUCUGGCUUCUGAUUGUCGAUCACUCAAUUGAUCUAUUAAUCAAUUCUUCCCCUUAGGACUAGAACACCUAGAUACACAUAUACACAUGUAAAAUAAAUAUUUUAUAUUUUCUCACAAAUAUCUACUGGACCUUACUUUAACAAUGGAAGACUUCUUUUCUUUUAGUACUAGAAGUGCCCUGAUCUAGCAUCACAGAACUCUCCUUUCACAGUCCUAUAUUACUUCUGACUCUGAUUAUGAAGGUUCUGAUAACAUGUGCCUGAGGAAUGCACCCUCUUGGCUAAUGGAAGCAUCACUGUGCUGUAGUCACGAUCUCUGUUCUGGAGACUCUGGUUUUAACCUGAUUGGGACCUGACUGGUAUCUGUAGGAUAAAAGAGAAAUGUUGCUGAGUAGUGAAGAGAAUAUGUCCAGACCUCCAGCCAGAGGCAGAAAAGGAAGGAGGAUGGGAGGGAACUGAGCUAAUCUUCAUUCUUCCAGAAGAGAUACGGAGGCUGGAAAACAUCUUAUACAUAACAGCCGAGUCACGGCUCACUCCUCUUUAUGCUCCUUUCUGUAAGGCACUAAGGGAAAAGAAAAAUAAAUUUUAAAAAAAGUUCCUUUUUUUCCCCUAGUUUUUAUUCUUUUAGCCAAGUUGUGACAAGCCACUGAUUUCUACCCUAUAAAUUAUUUAAAAUUCCACCUUUGCAUCAGGAUUGGAAAAUCAAUCUCCCUGAUUAAAAAGUGAACAGCUUCACGUUUCUAAAUGUCUCUUUAAUCUUUUAAUUAGAGGAGCCUGGUCCCUCCUCUUCCUGUGCGGAACCUGAGAUUCCAACAGCUGGACGCAAAGCGCUCUAGCGGGGAUUCUGGUCUAGGGAGAGUCCCUGUUUCCCCUUUUCUUCCUUUUUCACCAAUAAAGCCCUGCCUUACUCACCAAUCACAUUGUCUGGGAGCCUGAAUUUUCAUGGCCGUGGGACAGAGAAUCGCAUCUUUAGCUGAACUAAGGAAAAGUCCUGCAACAGUGACGUGUUCCACCAUCUUGCCCACCAUGUGCUUAUGAUAAUGUGAGUCUGUAAAACUCUUGGUUUUAAAGGACAACUUCUUUUUCUUUUUUUUCUUUCUUUCUUUUUUUUUUUUCUUCGAGACGGUGUUUGGCUCUUGUUGACCAGGCUGGAGUGCAAUGGUGCGAUCUUGGCUCACCGCAACCUCCGCCUUCCGGGUUCAAGCGAUUCUCCUGCCUCAGCCUCCGGAGUAGCUGGGAUUACAGGCAUGCGCCACCACGCCUGGCUAAUUUUGUAUUUUUAGUAGAGAGGGUUUCUCCAUGUUGGUCAGUCUGGUCUCAAACUCCCGGCCUCAGGUGAUCCGCCCGCCUCGGCCUCCCAAAGUGCUGGGAUUACAGGCGUGAGCCACCCUGCCCGGCCGACAGCCUCUUUUUCUAUCCGUUUUACCAAUCACCACCUCAAUCUCUUGGAAAUAAUGAGGAUUUGUAUUCUCGAAUAUUUUUCUAAUUUCAGCACUAGAUGCUUCAAAAUCCAGCCUUGAGCUAAUUUAGAUGCCCCAAGUAAGCUGAUGUGGUAUUAUAAUGGUGUGAUGACUUCCCUUAUAAAAACAACUUUAAAAUGCUGUGUGUUUAUGUACUUAAAAUUUUUAUUUUAAAUCUCUUUUGUCUGAAGCCCUGUAAUCUUCUUUGGAAAAUACACACUGUACCUGUUUUUUUUUUUUUUUCCUAUGGGAUUGGAAGGAUCUUCAGCUCAAAGCACUGCUUCA
This 5729-nucleotide long non-coding RNA is filed under the name Pan troglodytes (chimpanzee). RNAcentral describes it as "long non-coding RNA NONPTRT015026". The record is from RNAcentral. Lineage: Eukaryota; Metazoa; Chordata; Mammalia; Primates; Hominidae.